UAUAUAUCGUGCCGCUAUGGUG
Molecule: ribosomal RNA, 22 nt
Filed under: Metarhabditis blumi
Lineage: Eukaryota; Metazoa; Nematoda; Chromadorea; Rhabditida; Rhabditidae
Description: partial 18S ribosomal RNA
Source: RNAcentral